ACUCCUAUUGAUUCUAAUCACAAAUUAGGAAUAGCAGAAAAAGAUAUGCCAGUAAACAAAAAAUAUGUAUUAAAAAUUAGUUGGGAAAUUGAUAUACCUACCUUGCACGAAAGCAAACAUCGUCUAUGCAGUGAGUCUUAUAAGUUAAUUCAUGCACAGUUUGAAAGACGUGCAAUUACAAGCAGCCUACAGAGUAUUGCAUUACCCAAAAUGGUUACCUAGAAAAAAAAAAUUAUAUCGAGGAAAAGUGAUAGAUUGUCUAUACAGAUGUAAAUUAUGCAAGGUCAGUUGUAGAUAGAAACUCUACCACAUGAUAUUGUAUCUUCCUUAGGGAAAACAUAGUUACUGGAGAAAUAAGAAACAAAAAAUGGUUACGAAAUCAAGGACAAAAUCAGAAUUUUAAAAAAUGGCAGAAAUGGUAUGUAAACUACUAUAGAUAAGAAAAAUUUUGGAAGAUUUUAGAAUCAAGUGGAAAAACUUCAUGCAUCUAUACUGUAUUAUAUAUUGAUAAUAUUAUCAUAAUAUGAGAUGAUUAGAAAGAAAAACUAAUACUAACUAGUGUUUGGCAAAAGAAUUCGAAGUCAAGGAACUAGAUAAGUUAAAAUAUUUUCUAGUAAUUGAAGUCGCAUUCUCAAAAUCCAAAAUUUUUAUUUCUCAAUAAACAUUCAUAACCUGUUGAGAGAUACUUGUAAGUUAGCAUUUGCAAACGAACUAGCACUCCUAUUGAUUCUAAUCACAAAUUAGGAAUAGCAGAAAAAGAUAUGCCAGUAAACAAAAAAUAUGUAUUAAAAAUUAGUUGGGAAAUUGAUAUACCUACCUUGCACGAAAGCAAACAUCGUCUAUGCAGUGAGUCUUAUAAGUUAAUUCAUGCACAGUUUGAAAGACGUGCAAUUACAAGCAGCCUACAGAGUAUUGCAUUACCCAAAAUGGUUACCUAGAAAAAAAAAAUUAUAUCGAGGAAGAGUGAUAGAUUGUCUAUACAGAUGUAAAUUAUGCAAGGUCAGUUGUAGAUAGAAACUCUACCACAUGAUAUUGUAUCUUCCUUAGGGAAAACAUAGUUACUGGAGAAAUAAGAAACAAAAAAUGGUUACGAAAUCAAGGACAAAAUCAGAAUUUUAAAAAAUGGCAGAAAUGGUAUGUAAACUACUAUAGAUAAGAAAAAUUUUGGAAGAUUUUAGAAUCAAGUGGAAAAACUUCAUGCAUCUAUACUGUAUUAUAUAUUGAUAAUAUUAUCAUAAUAUGAGAUGAUUAGAAAGAAAAACUAAUACUAACUAGUGUUUGGCAAAAGAAUUCGAAGUCAAGGAACUAGAUAAGUUAAAAUAUUUUCUAGUAAUUGAAGUCGCAUUCUCAAAAUCCAAAAUUUUUAUUUCUCAAUAAACAUUCAUAACCUGUUGAGAGAUACUUGUAAGUUAGCAUUUGCAAACGAACUAGCACUCCUAUUGAUUCUAAUCACAAAUUAAGAAUAGCAGAAAAAGAUAUGCCAGUAAACAAAAAAU
Molecule: long non-coding RNA, 1496 nt
Filed under: Carica papaya (papaya)
Lineage: Eukaryota; Viridiplantae; Streptophyta; Magnoliopsida; Brassicales; Caricaceae
Description: long non-coding RNA (CPAP_LNC013809)
Source: RNAcentral